AGGUUAAGUUAACAAGGGCGCAUGGUGAAUGCCUUGGCACUAGGAGCCGAUGAAGGACGGGACUAACACCGAUAUGCUUCGGGGAGCUGUACGUAAGCUAUGAUCCGGAGAUUUCCGAAUGGGGCAACCCAGCAGUUUUAAUCAACUGUUACCACUAGAUGAAUUCAUAGUCUAGUUGGAGGUAAACGCUGUGAACUGAAACAUCUCAUUAGCAGCAGGAAUAUAAAGAAAUUUCGAUUCCCUAAGUAGCGGCGAGCGAACGGGGAACAGCCCAAACCAAAGUGCUUGCACUUUGGGGUUGUAGGACUGAACAUUUGAGUUACCAAAGAACUUGAUAGUCGAAGGAUUUGGGAAAAUCCGCCAUAGAUGGUGAUAGCCCAGUAGAUUAAAUCAAAUUCUCUCAGUUCAGGAUCCUGAGUACGGCGGAACACGUGAAAUUCCGUCGGAAUCCGGGAGGACCAUCUCCCAAGGCUAAAUACUACCUAGUGACCGAUAGUGAACCAGUACCGUGAGGGAAAGGUGAAAAGCACCCCGGGAGGGGAGUGAAAUAGUUCCUGAAACCAUGUGCCUACAAUAAGUCAGAGCGCGUUAAUGCGUGAUGGCGUGCCUUUUUGUAGAAUGAACCGGCGAGUUAUGAUCCCGUGCAAGGUUAAGACUAAAAAAAGUCGGAGCCGUAGCGAAAGCGAGUCUGAAAUGGGCGUUUUUGAGUACGAGGUUAUAGACCCGAAACCAGGUGACCUAUCCAUGUCCAGGUUGAAGGUGCGGUAAAAACGCACUGGAGGACCGAACCCGUGUAAGUUGAAAAAUUGCUGGGAUGAGGUGUGGAUAGCGGUGAAAUUCCAAACGAACUUGGAGAUAGCUGGUUCUCUCCGAAAUAGCUUUAGGGCUAGCCUCGGAAUUAGGAUCAUGGAGGUAGAGCACUAUUUGGACUAGGGGCCCGUCUUGGGUUACUGAAUUCAGAUAAACUCCGAAUGCCAUUGAUUCAUAUCCGGGAGUCAGACGAUGAGUGAUAAGAUCCACCGUCGAAAGGGGAACAGCCCAGACCAUCAGUUAAGGUCCCUAAAUGUAUGCUAAGUGGAAAAAGGAUGUGGAGUUGCAUAGACAACUAGGAUGUUGGCUCAGAAGCAGCCACCAUUUAAAGAGUGCGUAAUAGCUCACUAGUCGAGUGAUCCUGCGCCGAAAAUGUACCGGGGCUAAGCAUACUACCGAAACCAUGGAUGCGACCAUUAGGUCGCGUGAUAGGAGAGCGUUCUAAGGGCGGUGAAGCAAGAUCGUGAGGACUUGUGGAGCGCUUAGAAGUGAGAAUGCCGGUAUGAGUAGCGAAAGAUAGGUGAGAAUCCUAUCCACCGAAUGACUAAGGUUUCCUGGGGAAGGCUCGUCCUCCCAGGGUUAGUCGGGACCUAAGUCGAGGCCGAGAGGCGUAGACGAUGGAUAACAGGUUGAGAUUCCUGUACUAGUUAAGUGCGUUUGAGCAAUGGAGGGACGCAGGAGGCUAAGAUGUGCAUUCUGUUGGAUUAGAAUGUCCAAGCAGUAAGUCUGGUGAAGAGUCAAAUGCUUUUCACUUUAAGGACAAGCUGUGAUGGGGAGCGAAAUUUAGUAGCGAAGCGUCUGAUGUCACACUGCCGAGAAAAGCUUCUAGUGAGUACUUAACUACCCGUACCGCAAACCGACACAGGUAGUCGAGGAGAGAAUCCUAAGGUGAGCGAGUGAACUCUCGUUAAGGAACUCGGCAAAAUGACCCCGUAACUUCGGGAGAAGGGGUGCUGAUCGCAAGAUCAGCCGCAGUGAAUAGGCCCAGGCGACUGUUUAUCAAAAAAACACAGGUCUCUGCAAAAAUCGUAAGAUGACGUAUAGGGGCUGACGCCUGCCCGGUGCUGGAAGGUUAAAAGGAUGGGUUAGCUUCGGCGAAGCUCAGAAUUGAAGCCCCAGUAAACGGCGGCCGUAACUAUAACGGUCCUAAGGUAGCGAAAUUCCUUGUCGGGUAAGUUCCGACCCGCACGAAAGGCGUAACGAUCUGGGCACUGUCUCAACGAGAGACUCGGUGAAAUUAUAUUGUCCGUGAAGAUGCGGACUACCCGCGACAGGACGGAAAGACCCCAUGGAGCUUUACUGUAGCUUGAUAUUGAGUGUUUGUACAGCUUGUACAGGAUAGGUAGGAGCCAUAGAAACCGGAACGCUAGUUUCGGUGGAGGCGUUGGUGGGAUACUACCCUCGCUGUAUGACCACUCUAACCCGCACCACUAAUCGUGGUGGGAGACAGUGUCAGGUGGGCAGUUUGACUGGGGCGGUCGCCUCCUAAAGUAACGGAGGCGCCCAAAGGUUCCCUCAGAAUGGUUGGAAAUCAUUCGCAGAGUGUAAAGGCACAAGGGAGCUUGACUGCGAGACAGACAGGUCGAGCAGGGACGAAAGUCGGGCUUAGUGAUCCGGUGGUACCGUAUGGAAGGGCCAUCGCUCAACGGAUAAAAGCUACCCUGGGGAUAACAGGCUUAUCUCCCCCAAGAGUCCACAUCGACGGGGAGGUUUGGCACCUCGAUGUCGGCUCAUCGCAUCCUGGGGCUGUAGUCGGUCCCAAGGGUUGGGCUGUUCGCCCAUUAAAGCGGUACGCGAGCUGGGUUCAGAACGUCGUGAGACAGUUCGGUCCCUAUCCGUCGCGGGCGUAGGAAAUUUGAGAGGACCUGUCCUUAGUACGAGAGGACCGGGAUGGACAUACCUCUGGUGUACCAGUUGUGCCGCCAGGCGCAUCGCUGGGUAGCUACGUAUGGAUGUGAUAAACGCUGAAAGCAUCUAAGUGUGAAACACACCUCGAGAUGAGAUUUCCCAUUCCUUUAUGGAAGUAAGACCCCUGAAAGAUGAUCAGGUAGAUAGGUUAGAAGUGGCAGUGCGGUGACGCAUGAAGCGGACUAAUACUAAUCGGUCGAGGACUUAACCAAG
This 2931-nucleotide ribosomal RNA is filed under the name Lactiplantibacillus plantarum. RNAcentral describes it as "Lactobacillus plantarum 23S ribosomal RNA". It matches the Rfam family "Bacterial large subunit ribosomal RNA". The record is from RNAcentral. Lineage: Bacteria; Bacillati; Bacillota; Bacilli; Lactobacillales; Lactobacillaceae.